CCCCCCGCCCGGAAGCUCCCGCCCGAGCCCGCGCAGGCCCUGGGGCCGACCUUCCUGCCGGGCCGGGCGGUCCGAGGCUGCUGGAGCGCCGUGAGCAGGCCGCGGGAACGUCGCCGUCACCUUGUCUCGGGGCCUUGGCGCUGCUUCCCGCCAAAACACGUUUACCGCGCGCCCGGGCCUCCCACCUUGCGGAAGGGGCCCCCCCACCACUUGGAUUUCUGUUGCAGGUUGAGAACAAAAACAUGCACCUGGAGUUUCCCUGGAGCCCUCUGCGUGGUUGAGCUUCGGUGGAAUUUCGGGGCUCUUGGCUGCCAGCCGCGCUUGCCUGGUAGCAACAGAAACCAGUCCCGCUCGCCUCCGUGGACAUUUCAUUACCAUCCAGAAGUGUCUCCCACUGAAGGCAUCCGUGGUUGUUUUUAAGCCACAAAAAAGCCACACCCAAGAUCACCUGACACCCACCCUGUCAAGUGUCCAUGAUGCUGGGCCCUGAGGGAGGUGAAGGCUUUGUGGUCAAGCUCCGUGGCCUGCCCUGGUCCUGCUCUGUUGAGGACGUGCAGAACUUCCUCUCUGACUGCACGAUUCAUGAUGGGGCAGCAGGUGUCCAUUUCAUCUACACUAGAGAGGGCAGGCAGAGUGGUGAGGCUUUUGUUGAACUUGGAUCAGAAGAUGAUGUAAAAAUGGCCCUGAAAAAAGACAGGGAAAGCAUGGGACACCG
RNAcentral lists this small RNA (715 nucleotides) under Pan troglodytes (chimpanzee). RNAcentral describes it as "processed transcript". Lineage: Eukaryota; Metazoa; Chordata; Mammalia; Primates; Hominidae. The record is from RNAcentral.